RNAcentral lists this ribosomal RNA (428 nucleotides) under uncultured bacterium. RNAcentral describes it as "bacterial SSU rRNA". It matches the Rfam family "Bacterial small subunit ribosomal RNA", at positions 355 to 775 of the family's 1533-position model. The record is from RNAcentral.
UGAGGAAUCUUGCGCAAUGGGGGAAACCCUGACGCAGCAACGCCGCGUGAGUGAGGAAGGUCUUCGGAUCGUAAAGCUCUGUCGGGUGGAAAGAAAUGUAUGGGGUUAAUAGCCUUCAUACUUGACGGUACCACCAAAGGAAGCACCGGCUAACUCCGUGCCAGCAGCCGCGGUAAUACGGGGGGUGCAAGCGUUGUUCGGAAUUAUUGGGCGUAAAGAGCGUGUAGGCGGCUUGGCAAGUCAGAUGUGAAAGCCCUGGGCUUAACCCAGGAAGUGCAUUUGAAACUGCCUAGCUUGAGUAGGGGAGAGGGAAGUGGAAUUCCUGGUGUAGAGGUGAAAUUCGUAGAUAUCAGGAGGAGCACCGGUGGCGAAGGCGACUUCCUGGCCCUAUACUGACGCUGAGACGCGAGAGCGUGGGUAGCAAACAG